GGGCGUAAAGGGCGCGUAGGCGGGGAUAAAAGUCAGAUGUGAAAUCCCGGGGCUCAACCUCGGAACAGCAUUUGAAACUCUAUCUCUAGAGGGUAGGCGGAGAAAACGGAAUCCACAAGUAGCGGUGAAAUGCGUAGAUAUGUGGAAGAACACCGGUGGCGAAGGCGGUUUUCUAGCUUAUUCCUGACGCUGAGGCGCGAAAGCAAGGGGAUCAAGCAGGAUUAGAUACCCUGGUAGUCCUUGCUGUAAACGAUGUAUACUUGGUGUAACUGGACUCAACCCUAGUUGUGCCGGAGCUAACGCGUUAAGUAUACCGCCUGGGGAGUACAGUCGCAAGGCUGAAACUCAAAAGAAUUGACGGGGACCCGCACAAGCAGUGGAGCAUGUGGUUUAAUUCGAUGCAACGCGAAGAACCUUACCCAGGCUUGACAUGCAGUAGACCGGUCCAGAAAUGGGCCUUUCCUUCGGGACUGCUGCACAGGUGCUGCAUGGCUGUCGUCAGCUCGUGCCGUGAGGUGUUGGGUUAAGUCCCGCAACGAGCGCAACCCUUAUCAUUAGUUGCCAACAUUUAAGGUGGGAACUCUAAUGAGACUGCCCGGGUUAACCGGGAGGAAGGUGAGGAUGACGUCAAGUCCGCAUGGCCCUUAUGUCUGGGGCUACACACGUGCUACAAUGGUCGGUACAGAAGGCAGCGAAACCGCGAGGUGAAGCAAAUCCCGAAAGCCGGCCUCAGUUCAGAUUGUAGUCUGCAACUCGACUACAUGAAGACGGAAU
RNAcentral lists this ribosomal RNA (774 nucleotides) under uncultured Chlamydiae bacterium. RNAcentral's name for it is "bacterial SSU rRNA". It matches the Rfam family "Bacterial small subunit ribosomal RNA", at positions 556 to 1332 of the family's 1533-position model. Lineage: Bacteria; Pseudomonadati; Chlamydiota; Chlamydiia. The record is from RNAcentral.